Molecule: ribosomal RNA, 172 nt
Filed under: uncultured bacterium
Lineage: Bacteria
Description: partial 16S ribosomal RNA
Rfam family: Bacterial small subunit ribosomal RNA
Source: RNAcentral
ACGAAGCUGGAUUCGCUAGUAAUCGCGCAUCAGCCACGGCGCGGUGAAUACGUUCCCGGGCCUUGUACACACCGCCCGUCAAGCCAUGGGAGCCGGGGUACCUGAAGUGCGUAACCGCGAGGAGCGCCCUAGGGUAAAACUGGUGACUGGGGCUAAGUCGUAACAAGGUAUC